RNAcentral lists this ribosomal RNA (305 nucleotides) under uncultured bacterium. RNAcentral's name for it is "bacterial SSU rRNA". It matches the Rfam family "Bacterial small subunit ribosomal RNA", at positions 337 to 659 of the family's 1533-position model. The record is from RNAcentral.
GCCUACGGGAGGCAGCAGUGGGGGAUAUUGCACAAUGGGGGGAACCCUGAUGCAGCGACGCCGCGUGAAGGAAGAAGUAUCUUGGUAUGUAAACUUCUAUCAGCAGGGAAGAAAAUGACGGUACCUGACUAAGAAGCCCCGGCUAACUACGUGCCAGCAGCCGCGGUAAUACGUAGGGGGCAAGCGUUAUCCGGAUUUACUGGGUGUAAAGGGAGCGUAGACGGCAGCGCAAGUCUGGAGUGAAAUGCCGGGGCCCAACCCCGGGACUGCAUUUGGAACUGUAAGGCUAGAGUGUCGGAGCGGCG